CCUGGCGCUCGCUGAUCGGGCGAAGGAAAAAAAGAGAAAACGAGUUGAUUUGUCGUGACCUCGCCCAGUUAUCACCGUCCCCGCAUACGACCACCCCCUCACGUCUCCUCUACCUGCCCAGCACACGCCGCCUAUCCUCUUCCUCACCUAAUGCGAGCAAGAACAGUGCCCGGAAAGGGGCCAAAAGUGCUGGAUGGGAGCAGCACCGGGAGAUGCAGUCUGCGGCGCGUGGCCCUGCGGCGGCGGACCCUGCACAUGCGGCGUUUUCUUCCUUCCUAUGCAGUCGCCGCCUCCUGCCCCGGCGACUUCCUCCGGCUGCACGGCCGAAUUGCACCCAGCGUCUCCAUGGUGAGAGAAUUCCAGACUUCUGGUGUGGAGGAAGAAGGCUAGGCCGCUGAUGGAGCCACUUCCAAAUCACGCCAUGAUGCCGAUGAUGCAUGUCAUUGUUUGUUCUGCUGGGUGACGGCCGCACGACCUGAAGAUACAUAACUCAGGCAAUCGCUUAUAGCCCCUUCUCUAUUGGUCUUGCUGGAUACACUCACGUUUUCCCUUUACUCAAUGCUGGCCACUCAGAGGCGAGCGACCACGCAGCCUGUUCUCAUUUGUGAAAAGAUGUAUGGAUGGUGAGCAUAGUUCUAUUAUCUGUGUUUUGUGCCUGCCAUCUGUUUGAUAAAAUGCAGAGCCCCUAUCAUUCCACUAUCCCCAACAUACCUUGUGACGACGGCUCCGCACAGUGGCCAAUAACAAACCUGAAAGGUGUAUGCUUGCACGACGCCCUUGCUUGCAAGCUAGGUUUCGAUCCUUGAGGAAGGUGAUUGUUUAGAACUUUUAAUUAGAAAUUAUUUUAGUCUGUAAGUCAUUUGGGAAAAACUAAUUUUGUUGAAAUUAAAUUGAUGGGUCGAAACAAAAAAUGCUAAUCCUUCUGAUUUAUAAUAAUUGUCACGGUUGUACUAAAUCAGCGACGCUUAUUGUUGAAUGGAGGGAGUAGAUAUGAUGCAGCUGGUGGCCAAACUGGUUUCCUUACGGUUUGUUUCAAGACAUAUGGAAAUUGGGAUUUGAAUAAAUAUAGAAUGAUUGUGGUUCAUGUAGAGAGGCUUAUUGUGACUAGGAAUAACCAGGAAAUGUAGUAACUAAAUUGUUGUGAUUGGAUUUUGAAUCAUGAUUAGAAACUAUAGUAGCUUUUCCUUUCUACCUGAUGCUUAGAAACUUGCAGAGCAGGCGUGCCGUGAAUCAAAAAUUGGAGAGAAUUUCCUGAUGCAAUCUUGUUCAUGCCAACAAGUUGUUUGGUAAAAUCCUAAAAGGGGUAUGGAUAUGAAUGAAAAAAGUGCACUUCUGCUCCAAUCAAAUAUCAUUACUUUGAGCCACUUAUUUGAAUAACUUAAUACCAUAGUAGGAAUAUUAGCAUGUAAUUUUCUCUUUCUAGGCAUCGGAGGCACAAAAUUACAAUUAUAAUGUAAUGGAUCAGUAGGAACGCAAGAUCUAAUUGUCAAUUACAAAUAUUUUCAUGUGCCACGUGCUUCCCCUAUUCUCCUCCACUUACUUCUCUGUUCAUCUGCAAGUUCGGUUGAUCUUUGAAGUAUUGCUGAGCAAAGGAUUUAGAUUCUGUUAGAUCUACGUGCUCUUAAUGCUUAUCUAAUUAUUGAGCUCUGCCACUGCUUUUAGCACCCACCUAAAUUAACUACUGCUACAUAAGGGCAUUUAAAUUUGUUGAUAUCCACUGAAAUAAGAAUCCACAAGCUCCUCAAAUGUAACUUCCCUAUUUGUUUAAUUGUAAAACAGGUUCAGUUUUGCGCAAGCACAAACACAUCUGUGAAAUGAAGAGGUUUGCUUAAGUGUUCUUACAUAAUUAAGAAACAAAAUACUUUCACAUCAGUGGUCUACUUUAUCUUGUAACAGUUUUGGGUUUCCUUAAAUAUUAGUUGAUGAUAGCAUGUGAUUGCUGAUGCGUCAUAUGUAAGCAUACUGUUCAACCACCAGCAAUUGAAUCUCUGCUGGUUUAUUGUCAGUAGUCAUUGUGUGAAUGAAAGUUCUCUACUUCUUUAUACAGACUUUGAUUCGUAAGUAGAAUUAGGAACUGAACGUAUAAUACUCCUUCAACGUGAAUAUGUCACUCUCUAUUUGUGCCAGACAUGUUCACCGAGCCAACCAUUUAGGUAGAUAAGUAAGCUUAUAAAUUCUUUCAUGAUCUUCAACUAAGUACAUGUAUUGCCUUUUCUGCAGUUUACAUAUUUCUUCUCUCAGAAGCUUAUAAAUUCGUAUUUCUUUUGGAGUCUAUAACUUGGACCUUGCUGAUGCAAACCCUCAGUCAAGAAAUGAUUGCAUGGACUGGGAAGGCCGCGUCAAGGAGGCGUGGUGGGAGGAGGAGGAGGGGUCCGAGCAUGGCUGCGGCUAGAGUGCUGCGAUGAUGUAGGGUGGUGAAAAAAAUACUAUGUUAUAGUUCCAUGUAUUAUUUUUGAGGUACACUUUUUUUAUCUCACGUUCCGUGUCAAUGUCGUGAUGCUUACAACUGACCAAGAGUUUGAAGGUGUUGGAGAGUGGGAGAGCAUUCUGAUGAAACAUGAGCGCCUGCAAUAAAAAGUGGAACGGAUAGUGGAGAGAGCAUGGUGCAAUUUCUUCAGCUACUACAACUCUACUCUUGUACUCUCGAGGGGUGCUGACCAGUGACACUAACAGAGUUUCCUUUAGUGCCUCUACACUCCUGGAUUCACUCAGUGCAAAGAAGAUGAUAUUGCCUUUGAAGAGGAGAUGGGAGAUAGGUGGGUCUGCGCGAACGUUACGAACUCCUUGUAGAACCCCCAUAGGUUCCUUGCGAAAUAGCAGAUUUGACAAACCUUCAAUACAGAGCAGGAAAAUGGAGGGACUAAUAGGACCCUGGCCUUGUCAAAUCCCUCGAGAAGGAACAGUGGGUGAGGUGACAGAUGUUGAACUCAGUAUGACCAAAGAGAAGUUCUUGCUAAAAAAAGUGUACCGGAGAGGCUCUACCUCUGGAACUGUUUACCCCUGGGAUCUCAAUUUACUCUUGGCCGCAACCCACAGACUGAGUUGUGUUUGUGUUUGGAUAAAAUGUGUAUUUUUUCUACCUACAUAUAUGUAUUCCUAUUUUACAUAUAGUAACCUAGAAUUCUAGAUCUUGGCUGCAAUUGCGGAUGCAUCCCAUUGCUUUUAGCUAUUUGUUUCACACCACAUUAGAGCUACUUAAUUUCGUUACUAUACAAAUAUUGUAACUUUGAUUUACGGAAUUUUGGAAGUGGCUGAGAUUUCUUA
Molecule: non-coding RNA, 3264 nt
Organism: Lolium perenne
Lineage: Eukaryota; Viridiplantae; Streptophyta; Magnoliopsida; Poales; Poaceae
Source: RefSeq, a predicted model, not a curated record